AUACGUAGGUGACAAGCGUUAUCCGGAUUUACUGGGCGUAAAGGGCGUGUAGGCGGUCUUGCAAGUCAGAAGUGAAAUUCCUGAGCUCAACUCGGGCGCUGCUUCUGAAACUGCAGGACUUGAGUGCUGGAGGGGAUAGCGGAAUUCCUAGUGGAGCGGUAAAAUGCGCAGAUAUUAGGAAGAACACCGGUGGCGAAGGCGGCUUUGUGGACAGUACCUGACGGUGAGGCGCGAAAGCUUGGGGAGCAAACAGGAUUAGAUCCCCUGAUGUCCACGCCGUAAACGAUGAAUACUAGGUGUAGGGGGUAUCGACUCCCUCUGUGCCGCAGUUAACACAAUAAGUAUUCCGCCUGGGGAGUACGGCCGCAAGGUUGAAACUCAAAGGAAUUGACGGGG
Molecule: ribosomal RNA, 396 nt
Filed under: uncultured bacterium
Lineage: Bacteria
Description: partial 16S ribosomal RNA
Rfam family: Bacterial small subunit ribosomal RNA
Source: RNAcentral